This 497-nucleotide ribosomal RNA is filed under the name uncultured bacterium. RNAcentral's name for it is "partial 16S ribosomal RNA". It matches the Rfam family "Bacterial small subunit ribosomal RNA", at positions 28 to 507 of the family's 1533-position model. The record is from RNAcentral.
GAUGAGCGCUGGCGGCGUGCCUAAUACAUGCAAGUCGAGCGAACAGACGAUUAGCUUUCUCCUCUUACGUUAGCGGCUGACGUGUGAGUAACACGUGCAUAACCUACCUCUUUUUCUUGGAUAACUUCGUGAAACCUCAUCUACUACCGGCUAAUAUAUUCUACCGCUUGUUUCAAUAGUUAUUAUCGGUUUUUCUGUCUCUUUUAGAUGGUUCCAGGCGGGAUUAUCUAGUUGUUAAGGCAACUGCUUACAAAGGCAACGAUGCGUAUCCGACCUGAGAGGAUGAUCGGCCACACGGGAACUGAGACACGGUCCAGACUCCUACGGGAGGCAGCAGUAGGGAAUAUUGGACAAUGGGCGAAAGCCUGACGGAGCAACGCCGCGUGAGUGAAGAAGGACUUCGGAUCGUAAAACUCUGUUAUUAGGGAAGAAAAAAUGUAUAAGAAACUAUGCACGUCUUGACGGUACCUAAACAGAAAGCCACGGCUAACUACGUG